UAAGUUUUCCCGCUUAGAUCCGGGAAUACCUUGGUGGAUGACAUGGGAUUAAGUAUAUUAACCAUAUGUAGCAAUAUAUGGAACCUUAGAAAAUUCUAGGAAGGAUGCAAAAAUGAUACUGGGUCAUGCAGUAAAGAAGUAAAGUGGGGAAAAGAGAACCUCAUAGUGGCUUUCCCUAAUUCUGAAGUGCUAAGGAAGGAACUGGUGAGAAUCAAUAUAGCCGGAAGGGAGGUUAAAGUGCUUGAUUAAAAUUUUCUGGGGGUAUAUAGUCAGGUAGCUAUGUUGGCAACAAUGAGUGGCGUUAAUAAUGAUACAAAUUAGAGGUUAAGAUUGGUAUUGAAGCAAUUGAGAUGGUUCCUCGGUGACUAACAGUCUCCGAGGCAAUAGGCUGCUAGGAAUAGGCUGUUAUCCUAUGGACCACAUGUACAGCAGUAGGAGGGAGAAAUUGGCAGAUUUAUUAGUUAAAUAGAAGGGGUAAUAUAGUCAAAAAUAUAUGAAAUCAGUCCCACACUUAAUAGACUAUUAAGCUCAGAGGUUGAGACUGCUGGAAGCCCAAAAAUGAGGCAACCGUCAGGUUACCCUGCUGACAACUGGCCAGCCGGUUCGCGUAACAGAAUGCUGGAAAUUGGGUUUUUCACUUGUGGGCCCACUUCUCUGCAGCAUUGCUCCUUACACUCCCACCAAGUGUACAGGUCUAUUUGAAGAUUUUAACCCACCAUUUACCUCAGUGGGCAGUGGGGCCUACAUGGAGUUAUGAGAUGUUAAAUUAUUAAAUUAAUUUAAAUCAAUUUAUAGGGUCCAACCAAACGGACCCUAAGGUCUUAUUUGGGCUGGCCUAUAAAUACUUUCUAUCAGCCCUAAUGCCUCAUUUAUGCAAUACUAGUACUGCUAACAGAAAAGAAAAGAAAGGAAAAGAAAGAAGAGGAAGAAGAAGAAGAAGAAGAAGAAGAAGAAGAAGAAGAAGAAGAAGAAGAAGAAGAAGAAGAAGAAGAAGAAGGAGAGAAGGGAAGGAGAAGGGAAGAGGGCUUCUGCACCUAGGGCUGCUAUUGAAUAGUUCAGCCAACAGGCACCUAAGAUACUCGGCAAGGAUACACGUGGACGGGAAUUCAACGAAAAGGCAUCAGAUUCGAGUAUCAAGGCAAGAAGAAAGAGCAAAGGAAGCCAAUGUUGGCAUGUUUGGUAGCUGUGGAGUGCCAAGAAGGCAGAAGUGACCCCAUAUGCUCCUGUUCAGCCUGCAAAUAUCACUGGGGAACUCAUCAGGAAGUGUGGA
Molecule: long non-coding RNA, 1270 nt
Organism: Macadamia integrifolia
Lineage: Eukaryota; Viridiplantae; Streptophyta; Magnoliopsida; Proteales; Proteaceae
Exons: 3
Source: RefSeq, a predicted model, not a curated record